Molecule: ribosomal RNA, 253 nt
Filed under: uncultured bacterium
Lineage: Bacteria
Description: partial 16S ribosomal RNA
Rfam family: Bacterial small subunit ribosomal RNA
Source: RNAcentral
UACAGAGGUCUCAAGCGUUGUUCGGAUUCAUUGGGCGUAAAGGGUGCGUAGGCGGCGCGGUAAGUCGGGUGUGAAAUCUCGGAGCUUAACUCCGAAACUGCAUUCGAUACUGCCGUGCUUGAGGACUGGAGAGGAGACUGGAAUUUACGGUGUAGCGGUGAAAUGCGUAGAUAUCGUAAGGAAGACCAGUGGCGAAGGCGGGUCUCUGGACAGUUCCUGACGCUGAAGCACGAAGGCCAGGGGAGCAAACAGG